Molecule: RNA transcript, 4737 nt
Organism: Scatophagus argus
Lineage: Eukaryota; Metazoa; Chordata; Actinopteri; Scatophagidae
Gene: acap1
Gene name: ArfGAP with coiled-coil, ankyrin repeat and PH domains 1
Exons: 23
Source: RefSeq, a predicted model, not a curated record
GAGAGAGAGGGAGAGAGAGAGAGAGGGAGAGAGAGUCGGACUCCACUCUGUACCCUCGGGAGGAAACAUCCAAUCCGCCGGCUGCAGUCUGACUUGAUCCUCUUCUCUUGGGAACGUCGAUCAAUAAGGAUACUUUAUCCCCGACGAAACUUUGCGUACGCCUCUUCGCAGCAUCCUCUCCUACCGGGCGCACGGAUAAAACUGCCCUAUAAAAUGGUAAAGCAGAUGACGACCCCCUGCGCUCAUUCAUGAGCGGUGACAAGUCGUCUUUUGGCGUGGAUGUGCGACAGGGGACGUUCAGAUCAGGCACACGGUGUCCCCUCUUCAGCUGAGAAGAAAAGUGAGCAGGACGAGCCGCGGGAGGAAUACAAAUCGUGAAUGAAGAAAGAAGGAGAAAAGGUUCGACUUGGAUAAUGAGCCGAGCUGCCGGCGUGGAGCGUUAAAAAAAAAACAAAAAAAGGUUUAGUUUCUUCUUGACAGGCUGAGGAAGACUGAAGAGAAAUUCAGUGUAGCGUUUCUGCAUCUGCAACAACAGAAGGAUGACAGUCAAACUGGACUUUGAGGAGUGUUUGAAAGACUCUCCGCGCUUCAGAGCUGAAAUCGAAGAUGUCCAAAACGAUGUGAGCGAACUCGAGACACGAUUGGAGAAGCUUGUGAAACAAUGCCACGCCAUGGUGGAGGCAGGCAGGGUCUACUGCCAGAGCAGCAAGAACUUCGUCAGCGGCCUCCGGGAGCUGGGACACCACUGCUCUGGGGACAAGAUGAUGGAGGAGUGUUUAGACACAUUUUCCAAAAAGCUGUCAAUCAUCUUGGAGGCACAGGGGGAAAUGAUUGAGACCACACAGAAGUCAGUCAAGAUGAAGCUGCAGAACUUUGUCAAAGAGGAUGUGCGUCGGUUCAAGGAUGUGCGCAAGGAGUUCGAGCGCAGCAGCGAAUGUCUGGAGGGGGCACAGGCGAGGAACGCUCAGGCCCCACGGGGGAAACAGCACGAGGUGGAGGAGGCGAGCUGCGCUCUGCUUAACGCACGUAAGACCUUUCGGUCGGGGGCCCUGGAUUAUGUCUUGGAGAUUAAUGUCAUUGAGGCCAAGAAGAAAACAGACAUUUUGAUGGCAAUGUUGUCGCUGAUGGAGGCUCAAGCCCAGUUCUUCCAACAUGGCCACCAGUCACUGUCAGAACUGGACAAGUAUCGACAAAAACUGAACGAAGAGCACACUCAGUUUGUUCUGAACUCUGCCCGGGACAAGCGGGACAUGGAGCAAAGACACGCUGCAAUCAAGAAAAAGGACAUGUCCUACGAUGACUCCAUCAUGGAUUUUAAUGCCGAUGCAGCCAAUGGGAUCGCCAUGGAGGGAUACCUCUACAAGAGAGCCAGCAACGCCUUCAAGACCUGGAGCAGGCGCUGGUUUUCGAUUCAAAAAAAUCAGCUAGUGUAUCAGAAGAAAUUCAAGGACCAGCCUACAGUGGUGGUGGAGGACUUGCGCCUUUGCACAGUCAAGCCCAGCACUGAAAAUGAGAGACGAUUCUGCUUUGAAGUGGUCUCCCCGUCAAAGUGUUGUUUGUUGCAGGCAGAUUCAGAAAGGCAGCAGCAGGCAUGGAUCAGCGCCGUCCAAAACAGCAUCGCCUCAGCGUUUCAGGAGCACAGAGAGGACCCACACAGCCCAAGACAGCGCUGCAGCUCGAUGUCAGUGAGCAGUCCAGGAGGAGGGGGAGGAGGAGUAGCGGAUCAGGAGAGCAAAGGCUGCAAGGCGCUGGAGGAGGUUCAGGCGAUCCAGGGGAACAAGCAGUGUUGUGACUGCGGGGAGCCUGGGCCUGAUUGGGCCUCCAUAAACCUGGGCAUCACGCUUUGUAUCGUGUGCUCAGGAAUACACAGGAGCCUGGGAGUCCAUUUCUCCAAAGUACGCUCCCUCACGCUCGACUCCUGGGAGCCAGAGCUCAUUAAGUUGAUGUGUGAAUUAGGAAACACGGUAAUCAACAGGAUCUACGAGGCCCGGAUUGACGAGAUCACCAUCAAGAAGCCCCAUCCCAGCAGCCCCAGAGGAGACAAGGAGUCAUGGAUCCGGUCAAAAUAUGUUGAAAAGAAGUUUAUCCAGAAGCUGCCCGAGACCGGCAGGAACCCCCCGCUGAGUCGAUCCAGCGCCAGGAGGAACCGAUCGACCACGCAGGACCGGACCGUACAGCGACCACCACUCAAACCCAAACCAAACCGAGCUACUCUGCCUCGGGUCACAGGGCUGAGUCCCAGUGACCUUGUCCAAAAGAACAAUACAGGCUUUCACAAAGACAUGGACGAGGAAGAGGAGGAUCUGAGCGGACUUCACCCUGGGGCGCUGCUGUACCGCUCGGCAGCCAUGCAGAACUUCCCCGUCAUGGCCGACGCUUUGGCCCACGGAGCCGACGUCAACUGGGUCAAUGUGGCAGAGGAGUCCAGCACGCCACUGAUACAAGCUGUCUCAGCAAACGCCCUGGCAGCCUGCGAGUUCCUUCUGCAGAACGGUGCCACCGUCAACCAGGCGGACAUCAACGGGAGGGGACCACUUCACCACGCCACCAUCCUGGGUCACACCGGGCUGGUUUGUCUCUUCUUGAAGCGAGGAGCAGACUACAACGCCAAAGACAGGAACCAGAAAGACCCCAUAACUAUAGCUGUGGACAACGCCAACGCUGACAUCGUCACUCUGCUGCGGAUCGCCAAGAUGAACAAAGAGAUGCGGGAGAUGGACGGAGCGUUUGGCCAAUCAGGUCACUCAAGCGGGCAGGGAUCUGGGGGUGGGCUGGGCGGGACUGGAGGUGGGCUGGCCCACACCAGAAAGAGCCUCCAGGCUAUAAAGAACCAUAUAAGUGUCUGGGCUCUGGGGGGGCAGAACGAUUAGUGAGGAUAAAAAUCAGCCCUGAGACAGAGACAGUGAGACUGGAAUGAGCUUGUAUUUGGAUGUGAGCUAAAAUGAAAAUGACACGCUUUAUUGUUGAGAUCGUCAUGUGGUGUUUAUCUGCACCGUCUUUAGAGAAAUUAUCCCGGCCUCCCACACACAUCACUCAAGGAAAGAUGUGUCAUCAUAUCUAAGCUUAAAAAAAAAAGGAAAUAAAGAAGGAAGAAGCACCUUCAUUGAGAAAAGAUAAAAUCCAGUUCUUGUAAAGCAGCAGAGAGCCAGAACGCAGCAUCCAGCAGUGUGAAGGCAGAGUCUCAAGGUCAUAAAUGAAAACAGACUCACUGAUCAGCGACGAUGGAGAAAGGUCUUGUGAGAGACGUUGUUGUUGGAGCCCAUCUUGCUCUGUGAAUCAUAUAUGCACAUCACGCUGCACUUUGAACCCCACAAAAACUCAUUAAAACCUACAUGGAUGUUUCCAAUAUUCCACUGUGGUAUAGCUGAAGCUUUAGAAAACCUAUAUAAUAGACCUACAUCAGGCCUAUUUUUUCUCUGAUAUUGUGUAUCUGGAAUAUUUUUAUAUAUAUUUUAGACUUUACUGUGCAUCUCCCUGUGUGUUGGGCUGUCUUUUUCAGUCCACUUUUAUAAGCUAAAUACAAUGUUGGGUUUGGUUCUCAAGAACGGUUUUCUCCCUCUAUUCUGUGAAUAGUGAGGCGGUUUGAACUCUGUCACACAUUACAUGUUCGUAUUUAUCAGAGCUUCAUGCCGUCAGCCAGGUCCGACAGCUCCGCGCUGUAGCUCUCAGGCUUAAAGUUAGCCGUGAGUUUUGUUUGCAUUUUGUCAUUUUGGCUCCUUCUCAAGCUGCAAAGUCCAUUCUUUCAUGAUUGUCCUUUCAGUCGACGUGGGGGCUUUUUGUUAAGCUUCUCGUGUGAGCUGAGUUCAGUUUACAAUCAAGGCUUCACUCGUGAAGGAAUGGGAACGUGAUGCUUUUGUCUGCUUUGAAACAACUGCUGGUCAGUAUUUGACGUGCUGUGCUUUAUCAUUGUGUGUCUUUGUCGUGUGCACUCAUGUGCCUUUGGCUUCUGCCGGCUGAGAUGUCCUGCUGGUCUCAACUGCUUGUGCAGUGUGCCACCUACUGCAGACUAAGAGGUGAUGAAACCUACCAGGACAUCUUCAGAGACUUUUCACACAUGGCCUCAAACAACCCGGAGAAGCUCAAACGCCGCAGCGCAGACCCAAAAACUUAACCAGCCGUUGCUGUCCUCUUCACCCUGUCGCACAACGCCACGUUUGACACUUCAUGCUUUCAACACACAUAUAGAAAGCAUUCAAGUAUCCAACUCACAGGCAGGCAGACGCUCACAUUUUCCCUGGCUACCUGCCACAUGUUCAGUCAUAGCUCAGCUGGUGUUGACUUCAGAGGGGAUGAACGCUCCAAACAGUGAAUUCUUUGUGCGAACACGUCAGACCAGAACAAUAGUGCCUGAGUGGGAACACUGGAACAGCUUUAUGAGACCAGCAUGAGGUGUCUUUAUGUGUAGCAGAGGGUAACACCAUGACUGCCAAGAUUUCCUAAUUAAAUCCUGUAAAUCUGUUUUUUUUUUUUUAGGCUGAAUGUGUUUUUAUGUUCCUCUGCCACUUCUUCUUCUUGAAUUUUUACGUGAAAAAGAAGUGAAAAUGUUUGUUGGAAAUGGACAUAAUCGUUGCAAAGAGUAAAGUUUUAUGUGAACUGUCUUCCACUGCAUUGUAAUGUAUGCAAUUUUUUUUUUUUUUACAAUUUGGGACAUUUUAGGACACUGUUCAUGUCUGUUUUGUUAAACUGUGAUGAGGUACUUGAGACUCACAAAACAAAUAAACUUCAGUACCAAACAAA